This 1013-nucleotide ribosomal RNA is filed under the name Salmonella enterica subsp. enterica serovar Enteritidis. Its description in RNAcentral is "partial 23S ribosomal RNA". It matches the Rfam family "Bacterial large subunit ribosomal RNA", at positions 140 to 1191 of the family's 2925-position model. Lineage: Bacteria; Pseudomonadati; Pseudomonadota; Gammaproteobacteria; Enterobacterales; Enterobacteriaceae. The record is from RNAcentral.
UCGUCACACUAUCAUUAACUGAAUCCAUAGGUUAAUGAGGCGAACCGGGGGAACUGAAACAUCUAAGUACCCCGAGGAAAAGAAAUCAACCGAGAUUCCCCCAGUAGCGGCGAGCGAACGGGGAGGAGCCCAGAGCCUGAAUCAGCAUGUGUGUUAGUGGAAGCGUCUGGAAAGGCGCGCGAUACAGGGUGACAGCCCCGUACACAAAAGCGCAUGUGCUGUGAGCUCGAUGAGUAGGGCGGGACACGUGGUAUCCUGUCUGAAUAUGGGGGGACCAUCCUCCAAGGCUAAAUACUCCUGACUGACCGAUAGUGAACCAGUACCGUGAGGGAAAGGCGAAAAGAACCCCGGCGAGGGGAGUGAAAAAGAACCUGAAACCGUGUACGUACAAGCAGUGGGAGCACAGGUUUACCUGUGUGACUGCGUACCUUUUGUAUAAUGGGUCAGCGACUUAUAUUCUGUAGCAAGGUUAACCGAAUAGGGGAGCCGGAGGGAAACCGAGUCUUAAUUGGGCGUUAAGUUGCAGGGUAUAGACCCGAAACCCGGUGAUCUAGCCAUGGGCAGGUUGAAGGUUGGGUAACACUAACUGGAGGACCGAACCGACUAAUGUUGAAAAAUUAGCGGAUGACCUGUGGCUGGGGGUGAAAGGCCAAUCAAACCGGGAGAUAGCUGGUUCUCCCCGAAAGCUAUUUAGGUAGCGCCUCGUGAAUUCAUCUCCGGGGGUAGAGCACUGUUUCGGCUAGGGGGCCAUCCCGGCUUACCAACCCGAUGCAAACUGCGAAUACCGGAGAAUGUUAUCACGGGAGACACACGGCGGGUGCUAACGUCCGUCGUGAAGAGGGAAACAACCCAGACCGCCAGCUAAGGUCCCAAAGUCAUGGUUAAGUGGGAAACGAUGUGGGAAGGCCCAGACAGCCAGGAUGUUGGCUUAGAAGCAGCCAUCAUUUAAAGAAAGCGUAAUAGCUCACUGGUCGAGUCGGCCUGCGCGGAAGAUGUAACGGGGCUAAACCAUG